UAUAAGAUUCCAAGUGAGACCAAAUUGACUAAAGGACAAGUAUGUCGGGUAAUCUUUGAUGAUGUUAAGUGUGUUUUUCAGGAUUCGACCUCGGGGAGGAAGAUUUUGACUGCUAAAGAAUGGGAUGGACUCUACUACUUUGAAGGAAAAAAUAUGAAGACUGCAGGAGC
Neltuma alba is the source of this 170-nucleotide long non-coding RNA. RefSeq lists it as uncharacterized. The record is from RefSeq and is a predicted model, not a curated record. The transcript has 3 exons. Lineage: Eukaryota; Viridiplantae; Streptophyta; Magnoliopsida; Fabales; Fabaceae.